Molecule: long non-coding RNA, 2323 nt
Filed under: Olea europaea subsp. europaea
Lineage: Eukaryota; Viridiplantae; Streptophyta; Magnoliopsida; Lamiales; Oleaceae
Source: RNAcentral
AACAAUUUGCUAACCCUACCUCAGUUAAAAGUGAGUUCGGUUCACACUCUCAGGUCGGAGUUACCCGUCGUUAUCUCAGAAAAACACCACGAUUACCCCUUGUCACAUCACCCUAUCAAUCGGAGACACUUGCCACAGGUGAUGUCAUCGUCGCCCGGAAUAGCCAAUUUCAAGUCCUCGAAUUCCAGCCCCCUACAGGUCAUCAUUACUUUGGCACAUGACCACCGGCCUUGUUGACGAAUCAUUGGAGAAUUCGACGACCCGAGUUGCAAGCUCGACACUGUUGCUGAUUUGAUUGAUUUGAUGUAAUUUCGGCUGAAAUAUAUAUAAAUAGUAGAAUAGGACCCUUGUAAAAGGACAACAAAUUAAGAUGACGACUAUGGCCUGAUCACAUCUUUGCAAUCUUUUCUAAACACAAAUCGCCUUUUUUCUUAAAGUUGGUUCAAAUUCAUCCUUGCUAAUUUUUACAUCAACAGAGCUGUUUGGGACAAAUCCCCAUUUUAGCGAAAGCCUCCUAUGAGAAUAUAUUUGAUGCACUCCCAUUAUCAAUCAGAAUCCUCUUUACUUCAAAGUUAGCAACAAUUGCAGAGACGACCAGAGCAUUGUCAUGAGGAUAUGAUACUUCUUCCAAAUCUCUUACCCCAAAAGUAAUGUCUGAGAGUUUAUCAUGGGAUUCCCUUGAGGUAUGAGCAUGUUGGCGGGCAUAUUGCUUUCGCCCACUAUUUGUGUUUCCUCCAGAUACCAUGUCUCCAAUGAUAAUAUUAAUGGUCCCAGCAGUGGGUUGAGCACUGCUUCCGGCUCCAUGCUCUUUCCAAUUGUCACAGUCAUUUCUUGGGCGUUUAUCAUGACCAAUGUAAUUUCUUAAGAGCCUUCUUUUGAUGAGAGCUUCAAUUUCCCGCUGCAAGGCUUGGCAAUCCUUCGUGGUAUGCCCAUGAUCUCGAUGAAAUUCACAAUACUUGCUCCUAUCUCUUGGGUCAGGGGGCAACUUCAUUCUUGAAGGCCACUUCAACUCUUUCAUAUCUUUGAUCUCCAUUAAGAUAUUUGCCUUGGAGGUGUUCAACCAGGUGAGAGGCCCUGGUGGCCCUUCAUUCUUCCGCGUGUCCCGAGGAUGCUCUGGCCGGGAAACAGGAUCAUGUUGCUUCUUGUUCUCGACCUUUUCAUGGGAAGGACCAGAUCUCCUUGGAUUCAGCAUUUCCUCCGUAUUAAUGUAUUUUUCAGCUCGGGUGAGGAGUUUGGUCACUGUCUGUAGCGGGGUCUUUGAUAAGGACAUCUUGAAGGCUUCAUACUUUAUGGCAUAUGUAAGGGCGGAGACAGCCGCCGUAAUGUGAAGGUAAGAUAUUUGAAGUCUUUCCUUGUUAAACUUCGUCAUAAAUCCUUGUAGGGUUUCAUUUGUUCCCUGGCAAAGUUGCAUGAGAGAGGCCGCAGUCUUUCUGAUACGUUUGCUACUUGAAAAGAAGGCUGAGAACUUAUCAGCCAAAUCUAAGAAUGAGGCUAUGGAGUUGGGCUCCAAUGUCGAUAACCAGUCCCUAGCAGCAUUAGUCAACAUUUGUAGGAAGGCUUUGCACAAAACUUGAUCCGACGCAACUUGCAAAUUCAUGACAUCGGUAUAUACAUUGAGAUGGUUGAUUGGGUCGGUCGUCCCAUCAUACUCUUUAAUGCGAGGAUAUUUGAAUCUGUUGGGCAGGGGAUAAGACAAUUUCUCUGGUGUAAAUGUAGUGUUAGGGGUAAAACUCGUUGGCCCCCGAGCAUUUCAUUGCAGGCCAGCUGUAAUUCCUUCUUGAAUGAUACGAGCAAUCUCUCUGGAAUCCAUAGCAACUGAUCUCGAGCCCAAGGCCAUGUUACGAGUACCCGAGGUCCCUACUCCACCAAUUGCGGGGUUUGGUGCUCGAACUUGUGCAUCAAUCAUAAAACCACCAUGCUCUGCCUGCACCGGAUGUGAAUUUCUUUGACUUAACGGCUGCAUUAGCGUGACCACCUGCUGACGGAGCUCUUCGAAGGCUUCAAUUGUGACGACUGUCGACUGGGGUGCAGGCACUCUUGAUGACUCUUCUUGAGGAGUCGGUUGAUCUUCAGUAGGAUGAGGGAUGAGAGCGGAUGAGCUUGCGGGAGGAGGACCUGAUCGCGUGUUAACCAUAGGUUUUAGUAGCGGUUCCCACAGACGGGGCCAAUGAUGCUACCAAAAAUUGUACCUGUUGAUUUCCCGAGCUUGAGGACUUCGAAUGAGCACGAUCGUAGUCUUCCAGUUCCUAAAACAAAGGCAACAAGGUAUCUUCUCGUCGUCCCUUCGAUGCUUAAGUUAGAAAGGGAAUUAUAUGCGUCAGAU